UCGAAGGAAUUAGAAGUUAAUUUGGAUAGUAGAACCGAGGUGAAAACAAUCCUUAGUUACCAACUUUGGUUAUCUCUGAGCGCAUGAUGCUUGAGAGAAUAAUUUAGAGAGCACUUUGGUGCGGUGGAGCCGGCAGCCUUUUCUGUUGUGGCCUCUCGGGUUUUCCCGACCGAGAAUGUCUUUUAUUUUCUCUCUUUUUCACCUUCUUUUGCCGCCGCCCGUCCCCAAAACCUCCCCUUGGUUGCUUUAUGAAUUGUCUGCGCCGAGUUAUGGCCAGCCCAGGAACCGUAAACUGCCGGGAGCACCUCCGGCAGCUCGACUGUCGGUGACGUGCACUGCGUCCUUUGCAAGAAUCUCCAAGCAGACAGAGAGCCGGUUUCCGCUCGAUCUCCGGUACUUUCGACCUCGCACCCCAUGCUCACUCUAUCUAGCACACUCUCAUCUUCCUUUCUCACUCCCGACACUCCUCCUACCGCUUCCGUCGUCCCCUUGCAGUCCUAUGCGAGAAAAUUCCUUGGGUCGGGUCAAGAGCAUCACUUGGAGGGGUCGCACCGUAUUCCAUCUUAUGGAUAUAUUUGUAUAUGCACUUGAUGCAUGUUCUCUCACACACAUUUUAAAACAAUCGUCAAUUUAUGAUACAAGAACACAAUUCGAAAAGAAUCUCCCCCUUCAUUCCAGCGGAUUUUUAUAGGAACGAUUACUUUUGCUCACAAAUAUUUACUCGACUUCCUUUUCCCUGACCCACGAUAUGUUUGCGAGAGAUUUUUGGGAAAAACAAAAUUCAAUGCUCUCUGUAUUUUACGACGCUGGAGAAUAACUUGUCAUCCCUCCUAGUGAACACGAAGAAAAAAACAAAAAAAGAUUUUCUAAAUUUUUCCAGCGAAAGUCUUUUUAGUAAACAAUUUAUCUCUUACUCAAAUCAAAUUUUCAUGUAACGCUAAAAGGACUACUUUACACCCACACUACUAAUUAAGGCUAUAAAUAAUUAAAAUUUCGUUUGCCACUAGUCAACCUGUUUAACCAAAAGCGAAUACGACAACUAAUGGGUAAAUAAUAGAAUAGAGGAUUAAUUGAAAAAUUGGUAGUCAAAUGUGGACUUGAAUAAAUAAUGGGAAAAUUAUGAAAUUUACGUUAGUUGGUAAAGUGCAGAGAGUGGACGGAUGGUAGAGCGACGGACGAUGGGACGUUUCCUAGUUUCAAGCGGGCCAGUGCGCUAACGAUAAUCCCAUUACUUCCGCAGCCUUAGCUUCGUAAUCCACGGGUCCUGAUUUAUGCGGCACUAGAUACUCGAGAGAUAAUUCCAGAGCAGCACAGAGAGAGGACGUAUAUCCUUCGAAGCAACUGCAGGAAGCUUAACGUGCGACGAAUACAAUUAUUAUUACCAGUAUCGAUUUCACUUGCACGUUACUGCCUGACAUGUUCCGGUUGAUGCUCCUAUCAAAGCCUAAUACCCUCAUCCUAAACUUCCUCUUCCAUAGAAAUAUCAACAUCAUAUUUCUAUUGUUAAAUUUGAUGGAAGAGACAUUUUCAAUCCUGCCUCUAAAUACAAAUUAAACGCUAUAAAAGGGAUUAAUCCCUUAAGAGGAAAGCAGAUCCACAUUGAUCUUAAUAGCAUGAAAGGGAAACUAUGUUCCUUUCAGUUUUACCACAUUACAAAAUUGUUUCUAAUAUUGCAAUAUUUUUCUCAUCAAAUUUCUCAAAAUAUUUUCUUAACAUUAUACAAUAAAAAAUAUUUUUCUUUCCUAAUCUGAACUUGUUACACCUGUAAUUUUUCUAUUGGUCAACAGUACAUCAAUUCGCUGAUAAAUAAUAUUUUUUUCUCCCAAUCUGAAUCGGUUGCACCAGUACAUUUUUUGUUGAAUAAUAGUACAUAAAAUUUUGAGAUAACUUUAAAUAAUACUCAACAUGAACAGUAUAUAAGUUGUAGAAUCGCGUGAAAUUUUUAAACGUUAUUUGAAAGUCUUUUGUUUCGUGGCAUUAAGUUUGAAACAAAAAAGAAAUAGUGAAAUCCGUCUAAUUAUUCCUGUGUAAUACACCUACCGUAUAAUUUGAAACCAUACGAUUGUACUAGUAUUUGCGGUAAAUAACAAAUAUCAACUGGGAAAAAAAUGUAUUCUUUAACAAUCAUGAUAAGAUUAGCAAUAAUCUGCUUUCUAAUUUCGACGAUCAGAAGCGAACAGAGUAACUUCACUAUGGAUAAAGUAAAUGAAGUAAAACAAGUUUUAAAUAAUUUGGAAAGUCAUUUGAACGCAACAAUUGAUAAAUUAAAUCAUCACGAACUACCUAAACAAGAUGAAAGCUUUUGGGACAGAUUUUUGCAGAUUUUUUCAGACAAUAUACAAUACACCUACCAUUUACUAAAUAAAUAAAAUAAUUGUAAAUAAAAAAAGAUUUUGUCUUUUACUGUAUCUAAGCAAACAUAUAAAUAAUAAAGCAUUUAAAUAGUUA
Leptopilina heterotoma is the source of this 2448-nucleotide long non-coding RNA. RefSeq lists it as uncharacterized. NCBI's taxonomy places the organism in Eukaryota, Metazoa, Arthropoda, Insecta, Hymenoptera, Figitidae. The record is from RefSeq and is a predicted model, not a curated record. The transcript has 2 exons.